UGUGUUACAGAAUUUUUAAAAGGUACUUAUUAAUAGGAGCUAAUAAUAUACAAUGGGUCUAGGCCUGAUCAUUAAAACUGUUCGUAUUGCAAAUAUGCAAGACCUGCUUUAAAAUCUGUAAUAGGCUGAACCUUUUAAAUGUAAAUUUGUUCUAUUUAUCUGGUCACAACCCAGUGAGUGGAAUCCAAUAACUCACUAGAUUAAAGGAUAUAAAGGAUUAUAUAUCAGAAGGUAAUUACAAUUAGCUAAUGUCUGGAUGGUAUUUAAUAUGCAUAUUGGGUUAUUUCAGUGAGAUGUGACAUAGGAUGAUAUUUACAUUGCCAUUUCUUUUUGUUUAUAUGAAUGAAAUUUACAGCUUGGUAAGGUAUGCAGGCAUUACAUCAAAAAUGAUAGAAGACCAUUUAAAGUCGUGUGAAUUAUUGAUAUAAAUUCAUUUUGUUUUAUUUCAUGCACUAUUGCUUCUUGCAGUAUCGCCACAAGAACAGUGCAGUUUAUAAAGAAAAAAAAAGAGAGCGAGUGAAAUGGUCUAAUUUAUUCACAAUUGCUUUAAAAUGCUAUUGGAAUUGUCUCAUGAUUAUGUGUGCACUAAAGGAAUUGUCCAAAAUAUAACAGCAUGGGUAAACAGUAAAAGAGCUUAAAAAAGAGGUAAUUUGGAGAACUGGUAGACUGAAGUACU
Molecule: long non-coding RNA, 676 nt
Organism: Gavialis gangeticus (Gharial)
Lineage: Eukaryota; Metazoa; Chordata; Crocodylia; Gavialidae
Exons: 3
Source: RefSeq, a predicted model, not a curated record